Molecule: microRNA precursor, 78 nt
Filed under: Petromyzon marinus (sea lamprey)
Lineage: Eukaryota; Metazoa; Chordata; Hyperoartia; Petromyzontiformes; Petromyzontidae
Description: microRNA pma-mir-4614 precursor
Source: miRBase by way of RNAcentral
ACGUGGGGCGACGGGAGAUUUUGGGAGAUGGGAGACGCUGCAUCUCCCAUAUUUCCCAUGUCUCCCACCGCCCCGUUU